Molecule: ribosomal RNA, 156 nt
Filed under: uncultured Bacillota bacterium
Lineage: Bacteria; Bacillati; Bacillota
Description: uncultured Firmicutes bacterium partial 16S ribosomal RNA
Source: RNAcentral
CUGCUGGCACGUAGUUAGCCGUGGCUUGCUUUUCCGGUACCGUCAAUGCAGUUUGUUCUUCCCACUCUGCCUUUUCGUCCCGGAUCACAGAGUUUUACAACCCGAAGGCCGUCAUCACUCACGCGGCGUUGCUCCGUCAGGCUUUUGCCCAUUGCG